Molecule: ribosomal RNA, 541 nt
Filed under: uncultured Gallionellaceae bacterium
Lineage: Bacteria; Pseudomonadati; Pseudomonadota; Betaproteobacteria; Nitrosomonadales; Gallionellaceae
Description: bacterial SSU rRNA
Rfam family: Bacterial small subunit ribosomal RNA
Source: RNAcentral
AGUGGGGGAUAACGUAGCGAAAGUUACGCUAAUACCGCAUAUGCCCUGAGGGGGAAAGGUGGGGAUCGCAAGACCUAUCGCUUUCGGAGUGGCCGAUAUCAGAUUAGCUAGUUGGUGGGGUAAAGGCYUACCAAGGCGACGAUCUGUAGCUGGUCUGAGAGGACGACCAGCCACACUGGGACUGAGACACGGCCCAGACUCCUACGGGAGGCAGCAGUGGGGAAUUUUGGACAAUGGGCGCAAGCCUGAUCCAGCCAUGCCGCGUGAGUGAAGAAGGCCUUCGGGUUGUAAAGCUCUUUCAGCCGGAAAGAAAUCGUGCAGGCUAAUAUCCUGCAUGGAUGACGGUACCGGAAGAAGAAGCACCGGCUAACUACGUGCCAGCAGCCGCGGUAAUACGUAGGGUGCGAGCGUUAAUCGGAAUUACUGGGCGUAAAGCGUGCGCAGGCGGUUUUGUAAGACAGAUGUGAAAUCCCCGGGCUUAACCUGGGAACUGCAUUUGUGACUGCAAGGCUAGAGUAUGGCAGAGGGGGGUAAAAUUCCA